Molecule: long non-coding RNA, 423 nt
Organism: Mastomys coucha (southern multimammate mouse)
Lineage: Eukaryota; Metazoa; Chordata; Mammalia; Rodentia; Muridae
Exons: 2
Source: RefSeq, a predicted model, not a curated record
AAAACAACAACAAAAAAACCAAGGCAGCCAUUCACCAAUGUUCUCAGUGCAUUAAAAAUUUAGCAAUAGAAUUCACAGGACAAUCAAAAAUACCUCAGUGGAUUUGAAGAGCUAGGAAGGCCACAGUUUGAACUGAAAACUGAAAUCUGCUUACUGUUCUUACUCUCUCAUCUCCAAAAGCAACCUACAAACAUGCUUCCCAGAACUUAAAAGGGGCUAAAAGGUAAAGGCAGAGACUCCAUCUUGCUUGGGCUGGAGAAGAUCAGGCACCUAUGUCCAGACAGUUGUGCUUUGUGGUCAUUCGUCCUCAGCCCACUCUGUGACAGGGAUUCUCAGAACCCUGACCUUGUCUUUAGAUUUAAAACUUCACACCUGCAUUUUUUAUAGAUUUAAUAAAAUUUGAUACCUUUGUUAUGCAAAAAG